AGUGAAAUUUGGUAGGUCAUAUGGUAAGUCUAUAUUUAAUCCAUUGAGGAAUUCCCAGACUUUUCUAAAAUGGCUAUACCAUUUUACAUUCCCAUUGUCAGU
Molecule: microRNA precursor, 102 nt
Filed under: Marmota monax (woodchuck)
Lineage: Eukaryota; Metazoa; Chordata; Mammalia; Rodentia; Sciuridae
Source: RNAcentral